GAUGAACGCUGGCGGUGCGCCUAAUACAUGCAAGUCGAACGAGAACCACGCGAAGUUUACUUCAUUGUGGGGAAAGUGGCGGACGAGUGAGUAACACGUAAGAAUCUGCCCCGUACUCAGGGAUAACUCGGCGAAAGUCGGGCUAAUACCGGAUAGUCUCGAAAGAGUAAAGAUUUAUCGGUACGGGAGGAGCUUGCGGCCUAUCAGCUUGUUGGUAAGGUAAAAGCUUACCAAGGCUAUGACGGGUAGCUGGUCUGAGAGGAUGAUCAGUCACGAUGGAACUGAGACACGGUCCAUACUCCUACGGGAGGCAGCAGUAGGGAAUCUUCCGCAAUGGGCGAAAGCCUGACGGAGCGACACCGCGUGGUGGAUGAAGGCCCCAUGGGUUGUAAACACCUUUUCUGAGGGAAGAAGUUCUGACGGUACCUCAGGAAUAAGCCCCGGCUAAUUACG
Molecule: ribosomal RNA, 453 nt
Filed under: uncultured bacterium
Lineage: Bacteria
Description: bacterial SSU rRNA
Rfam family: Bacterial small subunit ribosomal RNA
Source: RNAcentral